AACCUCCGCAAUGCGAGCAAUCGCGACGGGGGGACCCCAAGUGCACUCUUAACGGGGUGGCUUUUCUUAAGUGCUUUUGGAAUAAGGGCUGGCAAGACCGGUGCCAGCCGCCGCGGUAACACCAGCACCCCGAGUGGUCGGGACGAUUAUUGGGCCUAAAGCAUCCGUAGCCGGUCCUGCAAGUCCUCCGUUAAAUCCACCCGCUCAACGGUUGGGCCGCGGGGGAUACUACAGGGCUAGGAGGCGGGAGAGGCAAGCGGUACUCGAUGGGUAGGGGUAAAAUCCACUGAUCCAUUGAAGACCACCAGUGGCGAAGGCGGCUUGCCAGAACGCCUCGACGGUGAGGGAUGAAAGCUGGGGGAGCAAACCGGAUUAGAUACCCGGGUAGUCCCAGCUGUAAACGAUGCAGACUCGGUGAUGGGCGGUGCCGCAGGGAAGCCGUUAAGUCUGCCGCCUGGGGAGUACGGUCGCAAGACUGAAACUUAAAGGAAUUGGCGGGGA
RNAcentral lists this ribosomal RNA (501 nucleotides) under uncultured archaeon. RNAcentral's name for it is "bacterial SSU rRNA". It matches the Rfam family "Archaeal small subunit ribosomal RNA", at positions 345 to 874 of the family's 1478-position model. The record is from RNAcentral.